This 324-nucleotide ribosomal RNA is filed under the name uncultured eukaryote. RNAcentral's name for it is "partial 18S ribosomal RNA". It matches the Rfam family "Eukaryotic small subunit ribosomal RNA", at positions 1470 to 1796 of the family's 1831-position model. The record is from RNAcentral.
CCCUUAGAUGUUCUGGGCUGCACGCGCGCUACACUGAUGCGAUCAACAAGUUUUUCCUAUGUCGAUAGACACGGGUAAUCUUUUGAACUCGCAUCGUGAUGGGGAUAGAUUAUUGUAAUUAUUAAUCUUCAACGAGGAAUUCCUAGUAGGUGCAAAUCAUCAGUUUGCAUCGAUUACGUCCCUGCCCUUUGUACACACCGCCCGUCGCUGCUACCGAUUGGUUGAUCUGGUGAAUUAUUCGGACUGCCGGCUGAAGGGGUUUCCUCAUCUGCCAGCGGAAAGUCGUGUUAACCCUAUCAACUAGAGGAAGCAGAAGUCGUAACA